RNAcentral lists this ribosomal RNA (902 nucleotides) under Leptographium yamaokae. Its description in RNAcentral is "LSU rRNA". It matches the Rfam family "Eukaryotic large subunit ribosomal RNA", at positions 38 to 966 of the family's 3401-position model. Lineage: Eukaryota; Fungi; Ascomycota; Sordariomycetes; Ophiostomatales; Ophiostomataceae. The record is from RNAcentral.
GCAUAUCAAUAAGCGGAGGAAAAGAAACCAACAGGGAUUGCCCCAGUAACGGCGAGUGAAGCGGCAACAGCUCAGAUUUGGAAUCUGGCCCCCAGGGCCCGAGUUGUAAUCUGGAGAGGAUGCUUCUGGCGCGGCGCCUUCCGAGUUCCCUGGAACGGGACGCCGGAGAGGGUGAGAGCCCCGUACGGUCGGACGCCUAGCCUUUGUGAAGCUCCUUCGACGAGUCGAGUAGUUUGGGAAUGCUGCUCAAAAUGGGAGGUAAAUUUCUUCUAAAGCUAAAUAUUGGCCAGAGACCGAUAGCGCACAAGUAGAGUGAUCGAAAGAUGAAAAGCACUUUGAAAAGAGGGUUAAACAGUACGUGAAAUUGUUGAAAGGGAAGCGCCCGUGGCCAGACUUGUGCCCCGCGGACCACCCGGCGCCCUCAGCGCCGGUGCACUCCGCGGGGCGCAGGCCAGCAUCGGUUUUUCCAGGGGGACAAAGGCGGCGGGAACGUGGCUCCCUCGGGAGUGUUAUAGCCCGCCGCGCCAUGCCCCUGGGGGGACCGAGGACCGCGCUUCGGCAAGGAUGCUGGCGUAAUGGCCACCGGCGACCCGUCUUGAAACACGGACCAAGGAGUCAAGCAUUGGGGCGAGUGUCUGGGUGCCAAACCCGCACGCGAAAUGAAAGUGAACGCAGGUGAGAGCUUCGGCGCAUCAUCGACCGAUCCUGAUGUUCUCGGAUGGAUUUGAGUAAGAGCCUUACCGCUUGGACCCGAAAGAUGGUGAACUAUGCCUGUAUAGGGUGAAGCCAGAGGAAACUCUGGUGGAGGCUCGCAGCGGUUCUGACGUGCAAAUCGAUCGUCAAAUAUGGGCAUGGGGGGCGAAAGACUAAUCGAACCAUCUAGUAGCUGGUUACCGCCGAAG